AACGUAGGGUGCAAGCGUUGUCCGGAAUUACUGGGUGUAAAGGGAGCGCAGGCGGACCGGCAAGUUGGAAGUGAAAACUAUGGGCUUAACCCAUAAAUUGCUUUCAAAACUGCUGGCCUUGAGUAGUGCAGAGGUAGGUGGAAUUCCCGGUGUAGCGGUGGAAUGCGUAGAUAUCGGGAGGAACACCAGUGGCGAAGGCGACCUACUGGGCACCAACUGACGCUGAGGCUCGAAAGCAUGGGUAGCAAACAGG
This 253-nucleotide ribosomal RNA is filed under the name Gemmiger formicilis. Its description in RNAcentral is "partial 16S ribosomal RNA". It matches the Rfam family "Bacterial small subunit ribosomal RNA", at positions 524 to 776 of the family's 1533-position model. The record is from RNAcentral. Lineage: Bacteria; Bacillati; Bacillota; Clostridia; Eubacteriales; Oscillospiraceae.